This 454-nucleotide long non-coding RNA is filed under the name Mytilus galloprovincialis (Mediterranean mussel). The record is from RNAcentral. Lineage: Eukaryota; Metazoa; Mollusca; Bivalvia; Mytilida; Mytilidae.
GUGUUAGAAUGUUUGAUACUGCCCUUUGUCACUGAGAAAUGACACUAUCUAAUAAUGUGUUGCUAUGCAUUGAAAUGUAAAAAUUCUUGCAUUUGUAAGAUCAAUUUGGCUUGUUUUUUUAUUGUUUUCGUUAUAGCUGUUAAUUAAUGGGUCAAUUAUUGGAGUACAACACCUGUAUCGAAUACGCGUAUCAAGUGUAUGUUCUCCCUUGUAUUAUCAACUAUUACUGUCGUUGAGAAUGAUAAUGGCAAGACCGCUUUUUUUUAGUCUCAUGUUGUCUUGCAAAAUGACUUGCAAUAUGACAACUUUAAAUCAUUCUAUCAAAAACUAAUUCCUUUUUUAAGUCAUUGACGUAUGCUUUCCAGUUUCACAACAACGAUCUUGAUUAUGCCUAAAAGAAGUGCAUAGUGCUGUGCCAAUAAUUCAUCACGAAAGCACAUUUGUUGCGUAUCUU